GCCUUGAUCGUAUAACGGUUAGUACAAGCGCUUCACACGCGCUAGACCUGGGUUCGACUCCCAGUCAGGGUA
This 72-nucleotide transfer RNA is filed under the name archaeon. RNAcentral describes it as "tRNA-Val". It matches the Rfam family "tRNA". Rfam says of the family: Transfer RNA (tRNA) molecules are approximately 80 nucleotides in length. Their secondary structure includes four short double-helical elements and three loops (D, anti-codon, and T loops). The record is from RNAcentral.